UGGGGGAGAGCAGGAGCUCAGUUUGGGGCAUGUCAAGAAUGAGAUGCCUUAUUAAACAUUCGAGCCAAGACACUGAACAGAGCUGAGUCUGGAGUUCACAGAGAGCCAAGCUGGGGACAUGGAUUUGCAAUCAAUCAGUGCACAGAUGGCAUCAGUUCCACGGGACUGAGAGUUCACCAGCGUAGCGAGAACAGCCAAAACCAAACCAAACCAAAACGUUCUCCACAGGUCCCAGGAGUGAGCCAGAGACUUUAAGCUGAAAGGUCAGCCAUCCAAGGAGGGAUCAGGAAGGGGAAGAGGAGGAACAGCAACGAGGGAGGGAGGACCGCCGGAAGGGAGGAGGGAGAGACAUGAAGGCUGCACAUACACAGAAAAAAAAAAAAACCCAACAACAUGUGGGGACACGGAGAAGGCAUAGCCUGAGGAGAAACCAGCCAUGCCAACACCUUGAUCUCAGACUUCUAACCUCCAAAACUGUGAGAAAACGAACGCCUAUUGUUAAGUUGCCCAGCCUGUGGUAUUUUGUUACGGAAGCCUGAGCAAACUAACACAGCCUGGCAUUUUUGCUCUGAAGUUUACAGGAUUGAUUGGAAUUUAUGGGAAUAGAUUUAUAGUUGCACAACUCAAUGCUAUGCAGGGAUUUUCUCCAGCGUGAUUCCUUUGGUGAAACAGUGGCCCCCACUUCCUACUGUCUGCCCAAACCCAAGCCAGCGAAAGUGUCCAUUCACCCAUCCAUUCAGU
RNAcentral lists this long non-coding RNA (741 nucleotides) under Homo sapiens (human). Its description in RNAcentral is "LHRI_LNC1376.1". Lineage: Eukaryota; Metazoa; Chordata; Mammalia; Primates; Hominidae. The record is from RNAcentral.